CCUGGGUGUGGGUAGCGCCAAUCAAUGGAUGGGUAGCCUGGAUGAAAUAUAAAGGCUGGCUUGGUUGCUUCUGCUACUUUGCUGCUUUGCUGCUUUCUCUUUGUCAUGCUAUGAACCAUUCCUCCUCUGUGAUGCUCCUCUGCCAUGCCACCCUGCCUUGGAGCCAGCCAACUAUGGACUGAAGCCCCUGUAAACUGAGUAUUCUCUAUUGCUCUGCUGGGUCCUGUCUGCGUUGAAAAGACCCAGCUGCUGAACUGGUAAGAGGUUGACUGCUGCCUCUGCAUGCGUGGAGCACAGGAACUGACAUGGCUGUGAGGGCUGGAUUUGCUGUACCUUGGAAUUGCUGUGAGACUUGGGCCAGUUUAUCAUCCCACCUCUACAAGGAGAGGAAUCCACCAAGGCCCUCCAUCCCACAUGCUGACUGACACUUGAAAGAUUUACUUGGCCAUGACAGGAGUUGAUGGUGGGGAGGAGAAAUUCUUUCUUAGAUUUUUUAAAUCUGAAAAAUGGAGAAACCCCCUUGCUACCCAGCAUCUGUGGCUGCAUUGAAAAGCUGAAAGUACAG
This is an RNA transcript of Heterocephalus glaber (naked mole-rat), 565 nucleotides long. It is a transcript of the gene named profilin-2-like, with no coding region annotated. NCBI's taxonomy places the organism in Eukaryota, Metazoa, Chordata, Mammalia, Rodentia, Bathyergidae. The record is from RefSeq and is a predicted model, not a curated record.